Molecule: long non-coding RNA, 3736 nt
Organism: Centruroides sculpturatus (bark scorpion)
Lineage: Eukaryota; Metazoa; Arthropoda; Arachnida; Scorpiones; Buthidae
Exons: 3
Source: RefSeq, a predicted model, not a curated record
CGUCACACAUGACGAUUCGCAGUUCGAUCGUGUUUCUCUCGGAGUCGGACGUGUUUUUCUUGCGCUCGUGAAUUGUGUGCUAUUUUUUGUUGUUUGCGGACUUUUCGAAAGAAGAUUAAAUAUUUUUUCAGAAUGAAGACGUUGGAGCAGUUUUGGAGGCGGUUCCGGCCGAAGAAGGCGCCGACGCAGAACGAGUCUAUAGGACUCGUACCGCGCCCGAAGAGAUAUCGGAGGAGCGGAGGGUCGAGCGAGAGGCAGCGGGCGAAGAAGACCGUCCCCAAGUGCGCAUGGCGUGGCAUCCUCCCGGAGUCGGGAUUAUGCGACGCUACACUCUUGCACCGUCGCACUUGGCCAAGGUCUUCGGGGGUCAUCCGGCCACAGACCUUGCUGUGGAAGAUGAAGAAAGUGACGGCUCGUCCGAGUUGACAUUUUCUGGUUGGUCGUGUUCUGCCUCUUCGUCUGCCACGGGGACGCCACUGCCUUGCGGAAGUCGGAACGAGGUGGAAUCGGAGGAGAAAGCCGCCCGAGUCUCGGGACCGUGGUGUCUGCGGUUCCCUUGGCCUAGGCGGUGAUCCUCUUCGAUUUUUUCCUUCUUCAUCCGGAUGCGACACUCUUACCUGAUUAGACACUUUUCACCCGGACUCGACACCUUUCCUUGGACAUUACCCGCGGACUUGCCUCCCGAAAGUGACACUCAGUCGACGACAACGGAUUUGACUUCCCGAUUGUCAACCUAUAGUAAUUUCGAAUAUCUCGUGUCGUUCGAAGGAAAAUUGUUUUCUUAUUUAGUAAGCAAAAUUUCAAGAUUUUGUAUAAAGCAGUUGUCGAAAUAUAAGUAAUUAAAAAGUGCAAAAAUCUCCAAGAAGCUAUAUUUUCUUCUCAUUUUUCUUCAUCCGACACCCGGACGUGACACGUUUACUGACCGGACGCCAUUCGGCCGACCCCUUUUCCCAAACAGCUGUUAUGAGGAUUGAGCUUCCGGUUAAGUUAGGCUAGGUCGGGUCUUCUCAUAACACUAUUCGGGAAGAAAGUCUAAUAAUGAUGACCUUAUAUAAUAAAUGAAUCAACUUCUUUUCUCACUGUCUUUGUGUUUUGUAGGAACAUUCGGGAGGAAGAUUCUUCUCCCUCCCAAUUUUGCCUCGAAGUGGACGACGUGGCCAUUCAUCAUCAUACAAGUGAAUAUUUUCCGCAAUCUCCGAUGACAUGCCGAAGAUGUUCUUGGAUCGCACACACACACACGGACAUAAUACCACUGUACAUGAAGAUAUACACCGUUUAACCUUUAAUCGAAUUCUCGCACUUACGCACUUAUACGUCAAGCGCCUCGUUCUAUGUAAUUCGACACAACGAAACAACCCGAACACUCGCUUCCCACAAAUCCAACUCCUGGGUCCUCGUCCUGGGAAGUGGAAACGCCAAUUUUAAAGAUUAAAACGCUUUAAAUUGGCGGCCGAAGGGGCUCUGGUAAUCACAAGUCGCAUGGAUUAAAUGGAAUUUUAGACAUUAGCAUCAAUAAUCGUUUUGUGAUGAAUUUUUCUGUUAAAUCUCUGGAAAUUUAGGAUGGGAAGAAAUUAUCUGCGCACAAAUCUUGCUCGUAUUUCAGUAUUGCUAACUCUUACCUAAGAUCAUUAAAGAUCUUCGUGCUCAUCGUAUAUUUCAUCACACUUGCAACAUGGCAAAUGGUAAUUUUUGUUUUGUUUUGUUUAUGGAGGACUGUUUUAAUCUUACCCAUCCUUAGUUUCUGAAGAUCCACAAUGUGGGCUGCCGGACUGUAUGAGACGGGACUUGACACAUUAGGUAAGAUCGCCCUGGGUUCUUCAACAGCCCGAAUUCGAUCUCAGAGUGGUAGACUGAAGUCUUAACCGCUCAAACAUCCGGCCGUCACCUUGUUAUACUAGGUGUUGAAAGUAUAACAAGUAGCGACACUUCCAUAUAAACAGUUUAUUAUUGUACACCAAAUAAAUUGUUUUUAGUUGGUAAGGAAUGUACCAUAUCUCUCACAUAAUAUAUUAUUUCAGUAAGAAAUUGAUAUUCGAUGUACACCAUUUUGUUCACGAUGCAUUUUAGGAACUUAAGUAUGACAUAUAUUAAGGACGUUCUUUAUUUAAUAAUAACAAAUGAAAUUUGAUCCAAUAAUCUAGUGUCUGAUAUCAGGAGUCCCUGGCAAGUAAAAAAGUCACCGACUGACUACAUAUACAGGAAUCAGAGUUGCCGAUUUCUCUGUCCCCCAAACACCUAUAGUAAUUUCGAAUAUCUCGUGUCGUUCGAAGGAAAAUUGUUUUCUUAUUUAGUACGCAAAAUUUCAAGAUUUUGUAUAAAGCAGUUGUCGAAAUAUAAGUAAUUAAAAACUGUAAAAAUCUCCAAAAAGUUUUAUUUUCUUCUUAUUUUUCUUCAUCCGACACUGCAGACGCUCGUAGAGAAAAAACUACUGGGUCUAGAAAGCUCAAUUUUAAACUUAAUCCUUUCUCGUUAUCAAUGAGGUACUAGCCAAACUUUCGGGUCGAUAGGUCAAAAGUUCACGGGGUUUCCCAUAGAGCUAAUUCAGUUUUACGGCUUUAUUUUAUGCUUAUAAGAAGAAAAUUGCAUGGAAACAAAUGAAUUUUAUUCGAAACGUUACUCAGAAUUACAAAAGUUUAAAUUUAUGCCAAUUAAUUAAAACUUUUUAUAAAACGCCGAUUUUACUAAACGGCGUUCAGUAACAUGAUAAUAAUUUAAAACAUAUUUCGAUAUAAACAUAGAUGACAUCAUCGUUUCGUUACAUUGUUGUUUCUAACAUCAAAGUUUACAGAAAUUUCCUCUACAGCGAUUAUGUUAAAUUGUAAUGAUUAUAUGUUACUGUAGGUAACAUAUAGGCCUACAAUUUGCGAAAUGGAGAAAUAGCCAUUUUUUUUUAAUUAAAGAGUUGUUUGUUAAGUUAUGGUAACGCAACACUUGGGCGAUCUGUCUAGGGCAGGGAUGGCGAACCUUUUUCAUUGUCCGUGCCAUAAAUUUAUAAAUAAUCUUUAUGGAAUUACUAACGUGCCACACUGAAAUUGUCUAGCAUAAAUUAUGAUUCUUGUAUUUUUCUCUUUUUUGCUUUUUUAUUUUUUAUUUUAUGUUUUUUCUUUUCCUUUCAUUCUCGAGAAAAAAAUUAUAAUUUAAUAAACAAAAAAAAAUUUCCAUUAAACAAUUCUAUUUGUGGUUGAAAGCUUUGUGAAAGCUUACAUUUUCCGCCAUUCCAAAAUUCUCUCUUUCAGCGUAUUCUUAGCUAAUGGUAUAUCUUUAAUUCUCUGGAUAAUUUUUUCUUUAUUUUCGAAAUCUUCGAAUAAGUAGAGCGCACAUUGCAACCAAGCUUCCUUUAAAAAAUGACCGUUAUUAAAAGUUUUCCUGUAUUGAGCAAUAGCUUUUGACGCUUGAUAACUAGCAGCAGUAGUGUUUGAUUGAGUUCCAAUAUAUUUCAUUAAUGACGUAGCUUGUUCAUUUUUAUUUUUGAAAACACGUGAUAUAUAGGCCUACUCCUUUUGCUCUUUUUCACUUCGAUUGAAAAGAGAUUUGCGGUUGGUUUCAUAAUAUCGCUUUACUGAUGAUGUUCUACAAACCACCGUUCCUGAAAAUAAAAUGCAAAUAGCUUUACUGUCCUUAUUAAUCAUACCGUACCUAUCGGUCCACCAAAUUGGAAAUUCUCUGCUACUACCUGUGUCUGAUAAUUUCGAUUUUUUCAUUGAACUAGCUAUAAUAAAAAAAUUAUAAAACAAUA